AACUGCUUAAAAGUUAUAACUGGAAAUAAUUUGUUUGAGCAUUGGAAAUUAGAUCAAAUGAGUUUAAACUGGACAAAUUUUCAAAAGUUUUCUGGAAAUAUGAACUUUUAAACAUGUUUUUUUUUUUCAUGAUUCAGUUAAAAUGGAGGGAACUACAUGUAUAUAGCCAUUUCUAACAGUUGCAAACUUUCAAGUCUUGGAGUCACAUGAGAUGUUUCAACUCAAAGGAUGUCAGAUGAGGGAAAAGUGUUAAAUGUACUGUUGAAUACAGAAUGCUUACAGAACUAUCUUGUAUCCAUGGGAGAGGUCACACCACAAGUCAAGAAGAUGUUGCAUCAUGUGAAGUGAAGGAUAUAUACAUCUGUACUAGAUGGAUGUUAAAUUACAUUUGUUUGAAUGAAACACUCUGACUUAGAAAUAAUUGUGAA
Ruditapes philippinarum (Manila clam) is the source of this 428-nucleotide long non-coding RNA. RefSeq lists it as uncharacterized. NCBI's taxonomy places the organism in Eukaryota, Metazoa, Mollusca, Bivalvia, Venerida, Veneridae. The transcript is spliced from 3 exons. The record is from RefSeq and is a predicted model, not a curated record.